UCUAUUGAGUGAGAUUGAAUACAAUGUAAGUAACCUAUGCGAUCAGAGUAGCUCUCCUGGGAUUAGAGAACUUCCACGAUUAUCCUCAGGCAAUCGCCGAAAUU
Ooceraea biroi (clonal raider ant) is the source of this 104-nucleotide long non-coding RNA. RefSeq lists it as uncharacterized. Lineage: Eukaryota; Metazoa; Arthropoda; Insecta; Hymenoptera; Formicidae. The record is from RefSeq and is a predicted model, not a curated record.